RNAcentral lists this transfer RNA (73 nucleotides) under Stegodyphus mimosarum. It matches the Rfam family "tRNA". Rfam says of the family: Transfer RNA (tRNA) molecules are approximately 80 nucleotides in length. Their secondary structure includes four short double-helical elements and three loops (D, anti-codon, and T loops). The record is from Rfam by way of RNAcentral. Lineage: Eukaryota; Metazoa; Arthropoda; Arachnida; Araneae; Eresidae.
GCCUUCGUGGUGUAGUGGUCAGCACGCUCGACGUGUGUUCGAGACGUCCGUGGUUCAAGUCCCGGCGACGGCA